CUCAUCAAGAGCAGUGGAGGGACUGGCCCUGAGAAGCUGCGGCAACCAUGCAUUACUGCAACGGUGCCAAUUCCUGUUGAAGGCUUAGGCCGGAGAUAAGAUGA
This 104-nucleotide non-coding RNA is filed under the name pig gut metagenome. RNAcentral describes it as "SAM riboswitch (S box leader)". It matches the Rfam family "SAM riboswitch aptamer (S box leader)". From Rfam's summary of the family: The SAM riboswitch is found upstream of a number of genes which code for proteins involved in methionine or cysteine biosynthesis in Gram-positive bacteria. The SAM riboswitch acts at the level of transcription termination control. The predicted structure consists of a complex stem-loop region followed by a single stem loop terminator region. The record is from RNAcentral.